UACGGGAGGCAGCAGUAGGGAAUAUUGCACAAUGGGCGAAAGCCUGAUGCAGCUAUGCCGCGUGUAUGAAGAAGGCCUUAGGGUUGUAAAGUACUUUCAUCGGGGAGGAAAAAACAAAACUAAUAAUUUUAUUUCUUGACGUUACCCGAAAAAGAAGCACCGGCUAACUCCGUGCCAGCAGCCGCGGUAAUACGGAGGGUGCUAGCGUUAAUCAGAAUUACUGGGCGUAAAGAGCACGUAGGUGGUUUUUUUAAGUCAGAUGUGAAAUCCCUGGGCUUAACCUAGGAACUGCAUUUUGAAACUGAAAUACUAGAGUAUCGUAGAGGGAGGUAGAAUUCUAGGUGUAGCGGUGAAAUGCGUAGAUAUCUGGAGGAAUACCUGUGGCGAAAGCGGCCUCCUAAACGAAUACUGACACUGAGGGUGCGAAAGCGUGGGGAGCAAACAGGGAUUAGAUACC
RNAcentral lists this ribosomal RNA (457 nucleotides) under uncultured bacterium. Its description in RNAcentral is "bacterial SSU rRNA". It matches the Rfam family "Bacterial small subunit ribosomal RNA", at positions 340 to 786 of the family's 1533-position model. The record is from RNAcentral.